Molecule: long non-coding RNA, 843 nt
Organism: Pistacia vera
Lineage: Eukaryota; Viridiplantae; Streptophyta; Magnoliopsida; Sapindales; Anacardiaceae
Exons: 3
Source: RefSeq, a predicted model, not a curated record
UAAAUGACUAGGAAAGGGAAUCAAAUUAAUUGAUUUGCUGCAAAAGCUGAUUAUGUGUGUAAUCUAAAUAUCUGUUACUGAUCAAGAGAGGAAAUAUAUAUAAGGUCACAGAUUCUAGGAACAAAAUGAAAAUGUGCGAGAUGAAACAAGUGUCCAGUAUCUGGUUUUCACAUUUGCUUGACAUGGUUGCUACAAAGAACGUCUGAACAGUGUCUGCAUCAUGCCAGCUGAAAUGAGUGAGACAAAAAACAUUCAUCAGCUCCAUCAUUUGUUCCAGAUUAGGAAUAAACUGUGGAUAUUAUCUGUGUCUCCCAUUUCUGUGGCAACUUGUGGAGCAAUUAAAUUAGAUCCAUCUUCUUCAAAGUCAAUCAACGAAGAGUACAGAAUCAGCAUAGGCUUCACCACAUCAAGAUGCCUGAAAAAUGAUCUUCCGUUUUCAUUGUUAAGUUUUGUAGCUAACCAUGAAUUAAGUCUCCAAGAACAACAUUACAACCCUUGGCUUUCCCCUGAAAACAAAGCUUGCAAUGGAGUCUCGAGUUUCAUGUUCGACUAAACAAUAUCCUUCACCAUUUCGAAGUGCCUGAACAUUGAAGCAAGAUCAUAAGUAAUACCGUUUUCAAGUUUUAAUGAGUUGUUUGUUGGAUCCAUUUUCUUUUUCUUCAAUUGUCUGAUGGUCAAUAUGGUUUGUAAUGCGUUAUUGUUUGUCUCUCAGCUUUAACAGUUGAGGUGGAAAACAUUUGCAGACUACUGAAAAGCAUUUAAAACAGAGCAUCUUCCUGAAACUCAAUUAUGCAGCUUAAGGGAGUUUUGACCAUUCUCAUCAUUAUUUCAGAAAUGAUAGAU